RNAcentral lists this ribosomal RNA (778 nucleotides) under uncultured Rubrobacter sp. Its description in RNAcentral is "bacterial SSU rRNA". It matches the Rfam family "Bacterial small subunit ribosomal RNA", at positions 8 to 796 of the family's 1533-position model. The record is from RNAcentral. Lineage: Bacteria; Bacillati; Actinomycetota; Rubrobacteria; Rubrobacterales; Rubrobacteraceae.
AGAGUUUGAUCAUGGCUCAGGACGAACGCUGGCGGCGUGCUUAAUACAUGCAAGUCGAGGGACGAAACCGGCAUGGGCAACCAUGCUGGCUGAAACCGGCGAACGGGUGAGUAACACGUGGGCAACGUGCCCCAGACCCAGGAACAACAACGGGAAACCGUUGCUAAUGCCUGAUAACCCCUGCGCACCGCAUGGCGUGCAGGGCAAAGCUCCGGCGGUCUGGGAUCGGCCCGCGCCCUAUCAGCUUGUUGGUGAGGUAACGGCUCACCAAGGCGUCGACGGGUAGCUGGUCUGAGAGGAUGAUCAGCCAGACUGGGACUGCGAAACGGCCCAGACACCUACGGGUGGCAGCAGCGAGGAAUCUUCCACAAUGGGCGCAAGCCCGAUGGAGCAACGCCGCGUGGAGGACGGCGGCCUUCGGGUUGUAAACUCCUUUCGGGGGGGAUGAAACGGACAGUACCCCCAGAAGCAGCCCCGGCUAACUACGUGCCAGCAGCCGCGGUAAUACGUAGGGGGCGAGCGUUGUCCGGAAUUAUUGGGCGUAAAGAGCGUGUAGGCGGUUUGGUAAGUCUGCCGUGAAAACCCGGGGCUCAACCCCGGUCGUGCGGUGGAUACUGCCAGGCUAGAGGAUGGUAGAGGCGAGUGGAAUUCCCGGUGUAGCGGUGAAAUGCGCAGAUAUCGGGAGGAACACCAGUAGCGAAGGCGGCUCGCUGGGCCAUUCCUGACGCUGAGACGCGAAAGCUAGGGGAGCGAACAGGAUUAGAUACCCCAGUAGUCC